Molecule: long non-coding RNA, 575 nt
Filed under: Homo sapiens (human)
Lineage: Eukaryota; Metazoa; Chordata; Mammalia; Primates; Hominidae
Description: HSALNT0350338
Source: RNAcentral
UCACGCACUGAUCAGUCACUGGCUGGGCACUGCUGGGGAAGAGUGUUGCCUCAGCUCAAAAGCAGAAUCGGAUCCUGAAGGACCUAAUGACUAGAAACUUCCAGCUGACUACACUCUGCAACUGACUGAUGGCACAUUGCAUAAAGAAACGCGAACCCAGCAGCACUCCUGCCAGCGGCAAUUCUGAGUGCUCAUUUCCACUUUGCCAAGACAUUACAUGGGAAGGCAUGUGCGUUUAAGGGCAUCCAAUUGUUUCUGUAUCAGAACAGCAGCAACAUCCCGGGCAGGCCUUUCCUCUGGAGUUCACGUGUAGGUCGUACUGACACACAACAUGGCCUAAAUGGACCAUGGAGGAGGAAGGGACCCCAAAUCCAGGCCAAAUGGGAGCAGGGUUGUCCUCAGGAGGACCCCAGCUAGAAGACUUUCUCUGGAACCCACGGUGCCUCUCACUAAAGUGCCCCAACGUUGGCACAACACCUACCGAAUUGUUGUUGCUGACUCUCUAUGCCCAUGAUUCAACCAGAACAACAUUGAUUCGUUAAAAGGUGCAUGAAUAAACUUGACUCUGGAAACAA